Molecule: RNA transcript, 6024 nt
Organism: Callithrix jacchus (white-tufted-ear marmoset)
Lineage: Eukaryota; Metazoa; Chordata; Mammalia; Primates; Cebidae
Gene: ARHGEF40
Gene name: Rho guanine nucleotide exchange factor 40
Source: RefSeq, a predicted model, not a curated record
UCUUCCGCUGCUCCCUGACUCCCGCACAUUCCCACCUUCCCCAGGCAGCACAGAGGAGCCCAUUGUCAGCCCGGAGGCUCGAGGCCCGAGGAGAUGGAGGGAAAGGAGGAGGGCGGGCAGGCCCCUGUGGGGUUGGGGAAUCCCCUGAUUUCCCGGCCCUCCGCACUACGCUAGGCCAGCAGGGACCUGAAGAUCUCUUUUGAACCCCGGGUCCUGCCAAAGUCUAGAAACCGAUGGGAGAAGAGGGUCCCGAGCGAGUUAGAGAUGGGAGGCUUUCCAGCCGUGGGAAGACCCCAGUUCUGAGCAGGGGAGCCCCAAGGGUAUUCACGCACGCCCCAGCCUUUGGAGCGUUCCUUGACGAGGCUAAACUGAUCGCGCGGGGAGCGAGGCCGUGGCGGGAAAAGAGGGGCAUCCUCUGCUGGGCCGGCCUCCGAGGGUCGGAGUCGGGGUUACCCGCUGGAGGGCGGGGCGGAGAAGAAAGAAGGUUGCGGGUGAACGGGACGGGUAGGCUGGGGACGCCCGGGGAGCUGCAGAGUCUCGGCGCGGGAGAGGGAGUCCCGGCCAGGGGUCCCGCGCCGAGGCGGGGCGGGCGCUGAAGGGCGGGGCGGGGAGGGGCGGCCGUCUCGGCCCUCCCUGGCGGGGCCCCGCGGCCUGGAAGCCUGAGCGGGCCGAGCCGCCACCGCGGCCGGAGCUGUCCCUCAGCCAGACCCGGCGAGACACGAGUGGCGGGAGGGAGGCGGUGGCGCGCCCGGCCCCGCCCGCCCGCCCGCCCGACCAAGCGUCGGACGCGGCCCGGCGCCGAGCCAUGGAGCCUGAACCAGUGGAGGACUGUGUGCAGGGCACUCUCGCUGCCCUGUAUCCACCCUUUGAGGCAACAGCCCCCACCCUGUUGGGCCAGGUGUUCCAGGUGGUGGAGAGGACUUAUCGGGAAGAUGCACUGAGGUACACGCUGGACUUCCUGGUACCAGCCAAGCACCUGCUUGCCAAAGUUCAGCAGGAAGCCUGUGCCCAAUACAGUGGAUUCCUCUUCUUCCAUGAGGGGUGGCCGCUCUGCCUGCAUGAACAGGUAGUGGUGCAGCUAGCAGCCCUACCCUGGCAGCUGCUGCGCCCAGGAGACUUCUAUCUGCAAGUGGUACCCUCAGCCGCCCAAGCACCACGACUAGCACUCAAGUGUCUGGCCCCUGGGGGUGGACGGGUGCAGGAAAUUCCUGUGCCCAGUGAGGCCUGUGCCUACCUAUUCACACCUGAGUGGCUACAAGGCAUCAACAAGGACCGGCCAACGGGUCGCCUCAGUACCUGCCUACUGUCUGCACCCUCUGGGAUUCAGCGGCUGCCCUGGGCUGAGCUCAUCUGCCCACGAUUUGUGCACAAAGAGGGCCUCAUGGUUGGACAUCAGCCAAGUACACUGCCCCCAGAACUGCCCUCUGGACCUCCAGGGCUUCCCAGCCCUCCACUUCCUGAGGAGGCGCUGGGCACCCGGAGCCCUGGGGAUGGGCACAAUGCCCCUGUGGAAGGACCUGAGGGUGAGUACGUGGAGCUGUUGGAGGUGACGCUGCCCGUGAGGGGGAGCCCAACAGAUGCUGAAGGCUCCCCAGGCCUCUCUAGAGUCCGGACAGUACCCACUCGCAAGGGUGCUGGAGGGAAAGGCCGCCACCGGAGACACCGGGCAUGGAUGCACCAGAAGGGCCUGGGACCUCGGGACCAGGAUGGAGCACGCCCACCUGGUGAGGGGAGCAGCACCGGAGCCUCCCCUGGGUCUCCCCAAGGAGCUGAGGCUGUCCCAGAGGCAGUAGUCUUGGAGGUGUCUGAGGCCCCAGCAGAGGCCUUGGGAGAAGCUUCUAAAUCUUGCCCCCUGAGGCCAGGGGAGCUUAGAGGAGGAGGAGGAGGAGGCCAAGGGGCUGAAGGACCGCCUGGGACCCCUCGGAGAACAGGCAAAGGAAACAGAAGAAAGAAGCGUGCUGCAGGCAGAGGGGCUCUAAGCCGAGGAGGGGACAGUGCCCCACUGAGCUCUGGGGACAAGGAAGAGGCCAGCCACCAAGAAGCUCUUGGCAAUGUACCCUCACCAAGUGAGCACAAGCUUCCAGAAUGCAGCCUGGUUAAGGAGGAAUAUGAAGGUGCAGGGAAGCCAGAAUCUGAGCCAAAAGAGGAGCUCAAACCAGCGGAUAAAGAAGAGCCUCCAUCUCCAGAAGCCUGUGGGCCAACAGAAGAGGAGGCCAGAGAGAGAGAGCAGCAGGGGCCAGGUCUGCUGUGUAUGGCAGGACACACAGACCCCGAAGAUCUCCUGUCUGACCUUCCAACACCUCCACUGGAGACUGUGCAGGGAGGAAAAGGGGACAGCAUUCCAGAAGAGGGCCUUCCAGUUUCCAUCUCUGAUGAUGCUGAUGUAGAUUGGGACUUGAUGGCAUCUGGAUUCCUCAUCCUGACUGGAGGGGUGGACCAGAGUGGGCGAGCUCUGCUGACCAUUACCCCACGGUGCCCUCCUGAGGAGCCCCCACCCUCCCGAGACACGCUGAGCACUACUCUUCAUUACCUCCACUCACUGCUCAGGCCUGAUCUACAGAUACUGGGGCUGUCCAUCCUACUGGACCUUCGCCAGGCACCUCCACUGCCUCCAGCACUCCUUCCUGUCUUGAGCCAACUUCAGGACUCAGGAGAUCCUCCCCUCCUUCAGCGACUGCUGAUUCUCACUCAUGAUGACCCUCCAACUGAACUCUGUGGAUUUCAGGGUGCUGAGGUGCUGUCAGAGAACGAUCUGAAAAGAGUGGCCAAGCCAGAGGAGCUGCAGUGGGAAUUAGGAGGUCACAGGAACCCCUCUCCCAGUCACUGGGUAGAGGUACAUCAGGAAGUGGUAAGGCUAUGCCACCUGUGCCAAGGUGUGCUGAACUCAGUACGGCAGGCCAUUGAGGAGCUGGAGGGAGCAGCAGAGCCAGAGGGAGAGGAGGCAGUGGGAAUGCCCAAGCCCCUGCAGAAGGUGCUGGCAGAUCCCCGGCUGACGGCACUGCAGAGGGAUGGGGGGGCCAUCCUGAUGAGGCUGCGCUCCACUCACAGCAGCAAGCUGGAGGGCCAAGGCCCAGCCACGCUGUAUCAGGAAGUGGACGAGGCCAUUCACCAGCUCGUACGCCUCUCCAACCUGCACGUGCAGCAGCAAGAGCAGCGGCAAUGCCUGCGGCGACUCCAGCAGGUAUUGCAGUGGCUCUCGGGCCCAGGGGAGGAGCAGCUGGCAAGUUUUACUGCGCCCGGGGAUACCCUGUCUGCCCUGCAGGAGACAGAGCUUCGAUUCCGGGCCUUCAGCACUGAGGUCCAGGAGCGCCUGGCCCAGGCACGGGAGGCCCUGGCUCUGGAGGAGAAUGCCACCUCCCAGAAGGUGCUGGAUAUCUUUGAACAGAGGCUGGAACAGGUUGAGAGUGGCCUCCACCGGGCCUUGAGGCUACAGCGCUUCUUCCAGCAGGCACACGAAUGGGUGGAUGAGGGUUUUGCUCGGCUGGCAGGAGCUGGCCCGGGUCGGGAGGCCAUGCUGGCUGCACUGGCCCUGAGGCGGGCCCCAGAGCCCAGUGCUGGCACCUUCCAGGAGAUGCGGGCCCUGGCCCUGGACCUGGGCAGCCCAGCAGCCCUUCGAGAGUGGGGCCGCUGCCGGGCACGCUGCCAAGAGCUGGAGAGGAGGAUUCAGCAACACCUGGGAGAGGAGGCAAGCCCACAGGGGUAUUGGCGACGGCGAGCAGACAGUGCCAGCAGCGGAGGGGCCCAGUGGGGCCCCCACAGCCCCUCACCCAGCCUCAGCUCCUUGCUGCUCCCCAGCAGCCCUGGGCCACAGGCAGCCCCAUCCCAUUGCUCCCUGGCCCCAUGUGGAGAGGACUAUGAGGAGGAGGGCCCUGAGCUGGCUCCCAAAGCAGAGGGCAGGCCCCCACGGGCUGUGCUGAUCCGAGGCCUGGAGGUCACCAGCACUGAGGUGGUAGACAGGACGUGCUCACCUCGGGAACAUGUGCUGUUGGGCCGGGCCGGGGGGCCAGACGGACCCUGGGGAGUAGGCACCCCCCGGAUGGAGCGCAAGCGAAGCGUCAGUGCCCAGCAGCGUCUGGUGUCUGAGCUGAUUGCCUGUGAACAAGAUUACGUGGCCACCUUAAGUGAGCCGGUACCACCCCCUGGGCCUGAGCUGACUCCUGAACUUCGAGGCACCUGGGCUGCCACCCUGAGUGCCCGGGAAAGGCUCCGCAGCUUCCACCGGACACACUUUCUGCGGGAGCUUCAGGGCUGCGCCACCCACCCCCUGCGCAUUGGGGCCUGCUUCCUUCGCCACGGGGACCAGUUCAGCCUUUACGCCCAGUACGUGAAGCACCGGCACAAACUGGAGAAUGGUCUGGCUGCGCUCAGCCCCUCCACCAAGGGAUCCAUGGAAGCUGGCCCUUACCUUCCCCGAGCCCUGCAGCAGCCCCUGGAACAGCUGGCUCGGUAUGGGCGGCUCCUGGAGGAGCUCCUGAGAGAAGCUGGGCCUGAGCUGAGUUCUGAGCGCCAGGCCCUUGGGGCUGCUGUGCAGCUGCUCCGGGAACAAGAGGCCCGUGGCAGAGACCUGCUGGCCGUGGAGGCAGUGCGUGGCUGUGAGAUAGAUCUGAAGGAGCAGGGACAGCUCUUGCAUCGAGACCCCUUCACUAUCAUCUGUGGCCGAAAGAAGUGCCUUCGCCAUGUCUUUCUCUUUGAGCAUCUCCUCCUGUUCAGCAAGCUCAAGGGCCCUGAAGGGGGGUCAGAGAUGUUUGUUUACAAGCAGGCCUUUAAGACUGCUGACAUGGGACUGACAGAAAACAUCGGGGACAGCGGACUCUGCUUUGAGUUGUGGUUUCGGCGGCGGCGUGCACGAGAGGCAUACACUCUGCAGGCAUCCUCACCGGAGAUCAAACUCAAGUGGACAAGUUCUAUUGCCCAGCUGCUGUGGAGACAGGCAGCCCACAACAAGGAGCUCCGAGUGCAGCAGAUGGUCUCCAUGGGCAUUGGGAAUAAACCCUUCCUGGACAUCAAAGCUCUUGGGGAGCGGACGCUGAGUGCCCUGCUCACUGGAAGAGCCGCCCGCACUCGGGCCUCCGUGGCCGUGUCAUCCUUUGAGCAUGCCGGCCCCUCCCUUCCCGGCCUUUCUCCGGGAGCCUGCUCCCUGCCUGCCCGCGUCGAGGAGGAGGCCUGGGAUCUGGACGUCAAGCAAAUUUCCCUGGCCCCAGAAACACUUGACUCUUCUGGAGAUGUGUCCCCAGGACCAAGAAACAGCCCCAGCCUGCAACCCUCCCACCCUGGGAGCAGCACUCCCACCCUGGCCAGUGGAGGGAUCUUAGGGCUAUCCCGGCAGAGGCAUCAAGGUCAUAGGUUAAAAGGAAUCUUGAACAAGGAGUAUAGUGCUAGAGUGGAUGGGAAGGGAAGAAUGCCAAUGGCCUGGCUUGGACUUGGAUUAACAUAACAAAACUCAUGCCAGAGUCAUGCUCGAGCCCUAAGUGACCCCACCACGCCUCUGUGACCUGGAGAAAAUCCAGAACUUGCCUGCAGCUUCUCCUCUCAGCACACUUUGGGCUGGGAUGGCAGUGGGGCAUAAUGGAGCACUGGGAGAUUGCUGAAUUUCUUCCCUCUGCUUCCUGGACACAGGAAGGUCUAAGGACCAGAGCAUUGCCCUGCCACCACUCUCUCUAGUCUCCCUAGCUUGGUGCCUUCUCCUGCAGGAGCCAGAGCAGCAACAUUGCUUGCCUUCAUGCCCUGGAGGUGGGAAAGUUACCCCUCUUCUGGUGCUUUCCCAUCCUGGGCCACUGAAUCCAGGACAUCACUCCCAUGCCAGCCCUCUCUGGUAGCCCAUGUUCUUUUUUCUCAUCCCCUGACUUUCCCUGAGAAGAAUCAUCUCUGCCAGGUCAACUGGAGUUCCUGGUGACUCCAUUCUGAGAUGCCACAGGAAAUGGAACUAUGCAAACAAUAAUAGGAGGGUGUGACAGGGGAACUGUAGACUUUAUAUAUGUAAUUACUAUUAUAAUACUAUUGUUAUAUUAAAUGUAUUUACGCAGA